This 440-nucleotide ribosomal RNA is filed under the name uncultured bacterium. RNAcentral describes it as "partial 16S ribosomal RNA". It matches the Rfam family "Bacterial small subunit ribosomal RNA", at positions 338 to 795 of the family's 1533-position model. The record is from RNAcentral.
CCUACGGGUGGCAGCAGUGGGGAAUAUUGCACAAUGGGGGAAACCCUGAUGCAGCCACGCCGCGUGAGUGAAGAAGUAUCUCUGUAUUUAAAGCUCUAUCAGCAGGGAAGAAAAUGACAGUACCUGACUAAUAAGCCCCGGCUAACUACGUUCCAGCAGCCGCGGUUAUACGUAGGGAGCAAGCGUUAUCCGGAUUUACUGGGUGUAAAGGGAGCGUAGACGGCUGCGCAAGUCAGAAGUGAAAGCCCGGGGCUCAAACGGGGCACUGCUUUUGAAACUGUGGAGCUAGAGUGCAGGAGAGGUAGGUGGAAUUCCUAGUGUAGCGGUGAAAUGCGUAGAUAUUAGGAGGAACACCGGUGGCGAAGGCGGCUUACUGGACUGUAACUGACGUUGAGGCUCGAAAGCGUGGGGAGCAAACAGGAUUAGAUACCCGAGUAGUC